Molecule: ribosomal RNA, 202 nt
Filed under: Serratia ureilytica
Lineage: Bacteria; Pseudomonadati; Pseudomonadota; Gammaproteobacteria; Enterobacterales; Yersiniaceae
Description: partial 16S ribosomal RNA
Rfam family: Bacterial small subunit ribosomal RNA
Source: RNAcentral
UAAUUGAAGAGUUUGAUCAUGGCUCAGAUUGAACGCUGGCGGCAGGCUUAACACAUGCAAGUCGAGCGGUAGCACAGGGGAGCUUGCUCCCCGGGUGACGAGCGGCGGACGGGUGAGUAAUGUCUGGGAAACUGCCUGAUGGAGGGGGAUAACUACUGGAAACGGUAGCUAAUACCGCAUAACGUCGNCAAGACCAAAGACG